Molecule: ribosomal RNA, 644 nt
Filed under: Microdiplogynium sp. XFX
Lineage: Eukaryota; Metazoa; Arthropoda; Arachnida; Mesostigmata; Diplogyniidae
Description: 12S ribosomal RNA
Source: RNAcentral
AAUUUUUAGAAGAUUGUUUUUAUAUAAAUUAUAGUAAAUUUGAGAAUUAUAUUAAACAUUUGGCGAAACUUGUGCCAGCUGCCGCGGUUAUACAGGUGAGUGGAGUUAAAAUGGUUAAUAUAAAUAAUAUUGUUGGGGGAUAUAAAUGUGAGAUUUUUAGGUGAAAUUAAAAUAUUAUGAAUAUCCUGUUAUGUUGAAUUUAUAAAUCUAAUUAAUAAACUAGGAUUAGAUACCCUAUUAUUUUAUAGAGGUGUUAGUAGUAGAUGAUUAUCAUGAAAUUAAAAGGAUUUGGCGGUGUUUUAAUUUAUUAAGAGGAAUUUGUCUAGUAAAGGAGAUGACGCCUGUAUCUUACUUAAAUUGAUAUUUGUAUACCGCUAUGUUGGUUAUAUUUUAUGAAAAUGGCUAAAGUUCAUAGAGAUGAAACAAAUUAGGUCUAGGUGCAGUUUAUGUUUAAGUUGUGAUGAAUUAUAUCAUGAAGGAAUAUGCAAGAUAGAAUUUGGAAUAUUUCUAUUAAGUAAGAUUUUAUAGUAAUAUAGGAACAUUAUGAUUAUAUGAAGUUAACACUAGAAUAUGUACAUAUCGCCCGUCGCUCUCAAUUUUGAGAUAAGUCGUAACAUAGUAAAAACACCUGAAGGUGUUUUUAA